CUCCCUCCCUUACGAGGCAGCGGCAUCGUCCUCCCCCCUUCUCCGCCACCUCCUCCUCCGGCGCGCAGCCCGCGACUCUGGCAUCCCCAACGCACUUUCUCUCCUCGAUCCGCUCGCUCUCUUCCCCCCGCCGCUCCUCCUUCUCCAGUAAAAAAUAAAUGAGAAGGGACGGCGGGUAUGCCUGGUCUUUUUUUCUCUUUCUUUCUUUUUUUUUUUUCUCUCUCUGUCCUCUGGAGUUGGUGAGAGGAUCACAUGAGGAGCAGGCACAGAGAACCAGGACCCUCAGAAGUCGGAGGAGGCAUCGGACACAUAUAUCUGCCAAUGGUCACCAUCACCCAAGGUUUCUCUCAAGGAAAAGAGGAAGGAAAUUUACUUUCCAAGCUGCUGUCCAGCUGCUCAUUUAGCCCUGACAACCCACUGAAGACACUGAAGAACGCCCAGCUAAAGUGGUUAAACGCCUGGAAAUGCAAGUGGAGGAGAAGUUCCUCCCCUCCAUUUUCAUUACUUGCAGCAGAUGACGUCAGUCUUCUACGACCUGUGCUAUGCAGAUGAAAACAUACAGAGUGUAUUAUGCAUUGAAGGGAAAUAUAGUUGCACAUCAACGCAUAGCCAGAAGCCUACAAGAAGCCCUGUGACGUCAAUGAGAAUGAUUUUGAUGAUUUUAGCAGCUUUUAAGUUAGAUCCUGGGUAUAUAUAUUUAUGUCACUAAAGGUCUGUACUUCAACUGCAAUAGUAGAUAAAAGCUUUUACAGCAAAUGUGUCAUUCUUAAUGCAUGAGUAUGCAUGCAAACCUAAACUGGCUUGAUUUUGUUCAGGAAGAUUCACUCCCAUUGUAACAAAAAUCUAAUAAAAACGAUUUAAG
RNAcentral lists this long non-coding RNA (862 nucleotides) under Struthio camelus australis. Its description in RNAcentral is "lncRNA (ENSSCUG00000007374.1)". The record is from RNAcentral. Lineage: Eukaryota; Metazoa; Chordata; Aves; Struthioniformes; Struthionidae.